CUGGCAACAUGGUCAAGUGUGGUAAAGCACUCGACCGUGGAGUCAACAGUCGAGGGUUCAAUCCCCUCACCGAACCAAGGUGGUUCUGAGUUGCUCACAUGCUCAGAUAAGUGGAAGUUCGGAAGAUUGAUGAUCAAAAAGGUGGUGUUGAAUCUUAUUGUUUCAU
Molecule: small nucleolar RNA, 166 nt
Organism: Caenorhabditis elegans
Lineage: Eukaryota; Metazoa; Nematoda; Chromadorea; Rhabditida; Rhabditidae
Source: Ensembl